Molecule: long non-coding RNA, 175 nt
Organism: Hibiscus syriacus
Lineage: Eukaryota; Viridiplantae; Streptophyta; Magnoliopsida; Malvales; Malvaceae
Exons: 2
Source: RefSeq, a predicted model, not a curated record
ACACAGUACAACCAAGGCUCCAUAUAUCAGCAGGAAUUCCAUACCCUUGACCUUUCUGAUUGACAACCUGUAAUUCAACAGCUGGUGAUCAGAAUUCACAGGAAGACGAAAAACAUCAUUUAAGUCUGAUCUAAAUAAAAGCCAAUAGCUUUCAGAAUGGGUGAAAUGCCAUAAU